UCUACGGGUGGCAGCAGUGAGGAAUAUUGGUCAAUGGGCGCGAGCCUGAACCAGCCAAGUAGCGUGAAGGAUGACUGCCCUACGGGUUGUAAACUUCUUUUAUAAAGGAAUAAAGUGAGUCACGUGUGCCUUUUUGUAUGUACUUUAUGAAUAAGGAUCGGCUAACUCCUUGCCAGCAGCCGCGGUAAUACGGAGGAUCCGAGCGUUAUCCGGUUUUAUUGGGGUUAAAGGGAGCGUAGAAGGGUUUUUAAGUCAGUUGUGAAAGUUUGCGGGUCAACCGUAAAAUUGCAAUUGAUACUGGCAGGCUUGAGUACAGUUGAGGUAGGCGGAAUUCGUGGUGUAGCGGUGAAAUGCUUAGAUAUCACGAAGAACUCCGAUUGCGAAGGCAGCUUACUAAACUGCCACUGACAUUGAUGCUCGAAAGUGUGGGUAUCAAACAGGAUUAGAUACCCCAGUAGUC
This 460-nucleotide ribosomal RNA is filed under the name uncultured bacterium. RNAcentral describes it as "partial 16S ribosomal RNA". It matches the Rfam family "Bacterial small subunit ribosomal RNA", at positions 338 to 795 of the family's 1533-position model. The record is from RNAcentral.